This 590-nucleotide ribosomal RNA is filed under the name uncultured fungus. Its description in RNAcentral is "eukaryotic LSU rRNA". It matches the Rfam family "Eukaryotic large subunit ribosomal RNA", at positions 72 to 647 of the family's 3401-position model. Lineage: Eukaryota; Fungi. The record is from RNAcentral.
GGAUUCCCCUAGUAACGGCGAGUGAAGCGGGAAGAGCUCAAAUUUAAAAUCUGGCAGCCUACGGUUGUCCGAGUUGUAAUCUAGAGAGGUGUUUUCCGUGCCGGACCGUGUACAAGUCCCUUGGAACAGGGCGUCAUAGAGGGUGAGAAUCCCGUCCAUGACACGGACUACCGGUGCUCUGCGAUACACCUUCAAAGAGUCGAGUUGUUUGGGAAUGCAGCUCAAAAUGGGUGGUAAAUUCCAUCUAAAGCUAAAUAUAGGCGAGAGACCGAUAGCGAACAAGUACCGUGAGGGAAAGAUGAAAAGAACUUUGGAAAGAGAGUUAAACAGUACGUGAAAUUGUUGAAAGGGAAACGCUUGGAGUCAGUCGCGUCUGCUGGGACUCAGCCUUGCUUCUGCUUGGUGCACUUCUCAGUAGAUGGGCCAGCAUCAAUUUUGGGUGCAGGAAAAGGGCAGGAGGAAUGUGGCAGCUUGCUGUGUUAUAGCCUCUUGUCGUACACUGUGCUUGGGAUUGAGGACUGCAGCACGCCUUUUGGUAGGGGUUCGCCCACUCCACGUGCUUAGGAUGCUGGCGUAAUGGCUUUAAACGA